GAGAGGGAGAUUCUUCAAAGUGACUAUUUUAGAUAUCUUGGCUCUAUCUUUAAUAAAGAAGGCGAUAUAGAAGAUGAUGUUGCUCAGAGAAUUAAAAUAGAAUGGUUGAGGUGGAGAGGUGCAACCAGAGUGUUGUGUGAUCAGUGAAUUCUUUUAAAGCUUAAAGGAAUAUUCUACAAGAUGGUCAUUCGGCCAGCUAUGAUGUAUUGGGUGGAAUGCUGGACAGUUAAGAAGCGUCAUAUAGAUAAACUAAGUGUAGUAGAGAUGAGGAUGCUGAGAUGGAUGUGCGGCAGAACUAGGAAGGAUAAAGGAAUGACCAGAUUAGAGCCGACUUGGAAGUUGCCCCGAUUCAUGAUAAGCUCCGUAAAAGUCGUUUGAGCUGGCAUGGCCAUGUUCAACGGAGGCUUUGGGAUGCACUAAUAUGGAAGGAGGAGUCUGAUUCAGAUU
Long non-coding RNA from Telopea speciosissima, 447 nucleotides. RefSeq lists it as uncharacterized. The record is from RefSeq and is a predicted model, not a curated record. NCBI's taxonomy places the organism in Eukaryota, Viridiplantae, Streptophyta, Magnoliopsida, Proteales, Proteaceae. The transcript has 3 exons.